RNAcentral lists this ribosomal RNA (447 nucleotides) under uncultured bacterium. RNAcentral's name for it is "bacterial SSU rRNA". It matches the Rfam family "Bacterial small subunit ribosomal RNA", at positions 355 to 825 of the family's 1533-position model. The record is from RNAcentral.
UCGGGAAUUUUGGGCAAUGGGGGAAACCCUGACCCAGCAACGCCGCGUGAAGGAUGAAGUAUUUCGGUAUGUAAACUUCGAAAGAAUAGGAAGAAUAAAUGACGGUACUAUUUAUAAGGUCCGGCUAACUACGUGCCAGCAGCCGCGGUAAUACGUAGGGACCAAGCGUUGUUCGGAUUUACUGGGCGUAAAGGGCGCGUAGGCGGCAUGACAAGUCACUUGUGAAAUCUCUGGGCUUAACCCAGAACGGCCAAGUGAUACUGUCGCGCUAGAGUGCAGAAGGGGCAAUCGGAAUUCUUGGUGUAGCGGUGAAAUGCGUAGAUAUCAAGAGGAACACCUGAGGUGAAGACGGGUUGCUGGACUGACACUGACGCUGAGGCGCGAAAGCCAGGGGAGCAAACGGGAUUAGAUACCCUGGUAGUCCCUGAGCGGGCUGGCAAGGCGCAU